GCACUGGUGAGGAGUCCCAUAAUAGGACGAAACGGCCGUCCAGUGC
This is a non-coding RNA of Schistosoma mansoni, 46 nucleotides long. The record is from Rfam. Lineage: Eukaryota; Metazoa; Platyhelminthes; Trematoda; Strigeidida; Schistosomatidae.